This 294-nucleotide long non-coding RNA is filed under the name Capsicum annuum. Its description in RNAcentral is "long non-coding RNA (CANN_LNC004750)". The record is from RNAcentral. Lineage: Eukaryota; Viridiplantae; Streptophyta; Magnoliopsida; Solanales; Solanaceae.
UCCGGUAGCGAGUAGUGGUGUAGAAAGGGGUUCUUUCGAUUUGAACCAGAUCGGUAAUGGUGUCAAAAUCAUCGAAGGGGGAGGUAAGAUCAAGGAGGGUGGUGGGUGAGUAAGGCUUGGGGGAGAGGAGAUCGAGGGUGCAGUCGAGUUCAUCUUCAAUGUGGAGGUAGUGGGGGUUUAGGAGUAGGGUUUUGGGGGUGAAAAAUGAGGAUUCUUGGAGAAAGAAAGAAGAAGGGGAGUAGUCGAUAAGGUCAAAUCUCCUGAAACGGCUCAUUUUCGCUUGAAUCUAGCAAC